RNAcentral lists this ribosomal RNA (686 nucleotides) under Vibrio sp. FCH-10. RNAcentral's name for it is "bacterial SSU rRNA". It matches the Rfam family "Bacterial small subunit ribosomal RNA", at positions 45 to 710 of the family's 1533-position model. The record is from RNAcentral. Lineage: Bacteria; Pseudomonadati; Pseudomonadota; Gammaproteobacteria; Vibrionales; Vibrionaceae.
GGCCUAACACAUGCAAGUCGAGCGGAACGACACUAACAAUCCUUCGGGUGCGUUAAUGGGCGUCGAGCGGCGGACGGGUGAGUAAUGCCUAGGAAAUUGCCUUGAUGUGGGGGAUAACCAUUGGAAACGAUGGCUAAUACCGCAUGAUGCCUACGGGCCAAAGAGGGGGACCUUCGGGCCUCUCGCGUCAAGAUAUGCCUAGGUGGGAUUAGCUAGUUGGUGAGGUAAUGGCUCACCAAGGCGACGAUCCCUAGCUGGUCUGAGAGGAUGAUCAGCCACACUGGAACUGAGACACGGUCCAGACUCCUACGGGAGGCAGCAGUGGGGAAUAUUGCACAAUGGGCGAAAGCCUGAUGCAGCCAUGCCGCGUGUAUGAAGAAGGCCUUCGGGUUGUAAAGUACUUUCAGUUGUGAGGAAGGGUGUGUAGUUAAUAGCUGCGCAUCUUGACGUUAGCAACAGAAGAAGCACCGGCUAACUCCGUGCCAGCAGCCGCGGUAAUACGGAGGGUGCGAGCGUUAAUCGGAAUUACUGGGCGUAAAGCGCAUGCAGGUGGUUCAUUAAGUCAGAUGUGAAAGCCCGGGGCUCAACCUCGGAACUGCAUUUGAAACUGGUGAACUAGAGUACUGUAUAGGGGGGUAGAAUUUCAGGUGUAACCGGUGAAAUGCGUAAAGAUCUGAAAGAAUACC